CCCGGAACUGCAGCACAGGGGAGCGCGCAGGGCCGAGGCGGCCGCGGCCGGAGACAUCAGAAGCUGGUACAAUCUCUUCAGUCUGGUUUAGACCACUGACAAUUUUUCUAAAUCUGUGACAACUCACUCCAUUUUGACUCAGAUGCUUUGUCCACUACCCCAUUCCUGGGAUAAACCACCCUCUAAGCUAGGAUGUAAGAAGGAAUACUUGGAAAGCAAACUAUCUUCCAGAACACACUGAAGGUAUUUUCAGCUACAUUAAUAUUCAGUUUAACACUCCCACUCCCACAAUGUCCCCUUCAGCUUCCUUUUUUUUUACAAGUAUUUGACUUCAGCUUUCAUUUAUUUUGUUUUGAAGAAAACAUUGUAUCUGCAGGGAUUGCUGUUCUUCUAUGCUGUCAGCUGGUGGUCAGACACUCUUUCUGAAACUCUAAAUCUACCUGUCCUGCCUGUGAUGUAAAGCCAGAAACAUCAUUGACACAAUCAGCAGGGAGAUGUGCCAAUACAUCAUAAAUAUAUACUCUGCUGCUGUCAGUCUUGGUAUUGUGCACUCUCAGCAUUCUGAUACACUUUGACUGAAAAAAGCCCAUCUUCUCAGGUAAACUGUAAGGUUUUUAAAAACACAAUAAAAGUUCUUGAAAAUUUUGAUAGGAAUUCCCCUUUUGGUGAGUCUUUCAAGCAAAGACACAUUGCCUUUCAUGUAGUUCUCAGUCAGUCCUCAUUACUUUCAGCAGCUUGUUAAAUGCUGUAUUAAUAUUUUCUGAUAUGCUGAAGUCCUGGGGUUUGGGUUUGUAGUAAACACAGGGUUGAUAAUAUACAGAUGUUUUAGUUAUUGCUGAGCAUAUUACACAGAGCCAAAGCCUUUUCUGCUUUUCGGAUUGACAACCUAGUGAGGAAGUGCAUGGGAAGCUGGGAGGAGACACAGCUAGGAAGGUGACCCCAGCUGACCGAAGGAGUAUUCCAGAAUGUAUGACAUUGACUUGGGGAGAACAGAGAAGAACUGAGGAAUGUUUGAAAUUAUGGAGCUUACAUUGCUAGUAAUUAUUAUGCAUGAUGGAACACAUUUUUUCUGGAGAUGGCUGAACACUUACCAGUCUAUGUGAAGUGGUGAAUGAAUUUAUUUUACUAUUUUUACAUUUACCUGUUUUAUUAUUAUUUUUCUUGUGUGUGCAGCAUUUGGUUUCCUAAUAUAUUGUCUUUGGCUCAAAUUACAAAUUUUCUCAUUUUACUCUUCUGAUUCUCCCCCAGUCCUGGUGGGGGAGUGAGUGUGAAGGUGUGUGGGGUUUGUUUGCUGGAUGUGGUGAAUCCACAACACCUUCCCUUUUCCAUGACAGCCCCAUGGAGCCUUCUGACUACCUAACAAUGGAACACCUGCCUUGCAGAGAAGGUUUCGGCAUUUGUAGUUGGUUCAGGGAAUACGAGAGGCUGCACUGUCACAUAGAAGACUCCAGUGCUGGGAUCAUGGGUCCUGCAGCUCCAUGGCUCACUCCUAGCUUCUUUCAUAUUCAUCCCAGCUAUGGUGAUAUGACACAGAGAAUUUUACCCAAGAAACAACAGAUGUUGCAAGAAAGAGAAAACCUGGGGCAGUAAUGAACUUGCUCUCAGAACAAGAAAUUCCUAGUACAAAUGGAAAUACAUUUGCUGAAAGACAAUGUUCCUGGUUUGCCAUACAUCCCAUCUCUCUCCCUUUGUCUGGGAAAAUCCCACAGGUGUAAUCUGCCCACAACAGGAGCAAUUUUUUCUGUUAGGAAAGGUGAAAAUCCUAGAUGUAUCUGCUGAGGACAUAUCCAACUAUUUUUAAUGCAGCAUUGCUUGGGAAAGAGGUAGAUGAUCUCCAACAUUAAGAUAUAAUUGAGAAUUUUAGGGGACAUUCAUUCCUUAGCUAAAGUAUUUGUGAUGUCUCAAGCUUACGGAGAGUUUAUUUGGUAGAAAUUGUAUAGGCAACUAGUAUGUAAGUCAUUGUAAGAGUAACCGGGAAAUCCUCAGCACAUUUUUAUUCCCUAAUUUCACUGAUUUAUUAAUAAUUAAUAAUCUCCAGUAUUUUUAUCCUGAUCUUCAAUCACAGAAUUCAAAAUUGAGCUGCAAACACUAACUGAGUUUCAGGGUACCUUUAAAACAGAACCUAGAGUAAUCAAACUUUAAAUUCUGUACUUGUAUAAACAUAUGUAUGUGAACUGCACUUGUAUAAACAUAUUUGUGUGAACUGACAGGACAAGAAAAAUUUUGUAUCACUUCCCUGUUUCUUCUUUUGUGACAAAGAGUUGAAAUUUAGCCAUGAUAAGGCAUUAUAUGUUUUAUUAUUAAAAAACCAAUAGGACACAGUUGAAUAAUAAUUGUGCUAAUAUUUUAUCUAAUUGUUGUGUUACUGUAAUAGUUUGGCUUCCAAGACUAGAGUCCUUUGGCUGUUAUUCAUGAACUGAAAGCCAGAGUCCUUUUUAAAUAAUCAUGUGAUAACCUGUCAAACAUCUGUUUGUUGAUACCUUAUAUUACCUCUGCAAGUACAGCUUCUAACCCAAAAGAGAGCAGCUGUCAAUAGGAAACUUAAGAGCUUGAAACAUGGAGAAUGUGAAAAAGCAAUCCCUACAAUGAAAGAGGUGCAAAAAGCCCAGGAGAGAGCCCUUCAGGAAAAGAGUAACUUAUUGACAUAAUAUGAAAGUUACUGAGGGGGAAGUUUUGAGAGCAAAAGGUAAUGGUAGAGGUGGCUGGAAGAAGAAAAGAGGUUAUAAGAUGAAUGUUUGAGGUUUUUCACUUAAGUAUUCAGGAAAAUGGUUUCUGCUCAAAAUAGAGCAGAAUUUGUACUGCAAAACAUCUUGAGAAAAAAGGAAACUGAGUUUUGACUCUCCAUUACUAAACUAUGAGCUCCUUUAUGUAUGUGAUACAUGCAUCUUAUUUCCUUCAAUUUUUUAUUAGACACCCUAAUUUACAAUAAAUGUUUCCUAUGUGCCAGUGUACCAUGCGUUUGUAGUAACAAUGCUAUCUUAUAUUUGAACUUACUGGUGUGUCAAGUACAUUCACAUCUACUUAUGUUUAAAUUUUUCAAAGUUCUCUUCUCUUCUCUUCUCUUCUCUUCUCUUCUCUUCUCUUCUCUUCUCUUCUCUUCUCUUCUCUUCUCUUCUCUUCUCUUCUCUUCUCUUCUCUUCUCUUCUCUUCUCUUCUCUUCUCUUCUCUUCUCUUCUCUUCUCUUCUCUUCUCUUCUCUUCUCUUCUCUUCUCUUCUCUUCUCUUCUCUUCUCUGUUUUGAUUUCUUCAAGAAACAUCUAUAAGAAAUUUCAUGUAAGCUUUUGGGCAGGGGCUUACUUUCUUUGACCUAAUCUUGAGGUACCAAGAGAACAAGUUACAGUGACACAAGGUGCUCUCAUAGGAUUGGAUAGGGUUCACCCAUCACUUAAAGCAUUUGAAGUGCAUGUGCUUUUUUAUAGUUAUCUUUCUUUUUCAACUAAUGCCUUGUCGAAAAUGACAUCUCAAAUUAAAGCCUUUUUGACUACCAUAGAUGAAAUAAGUGCCUCUUCUGUGACUCCUUUUCAAAUAUUUUGGAAACAAUAUGAUUUGAAAAUACUGUUUUCCUUUCCUUUAGAAACAUGAAUGGCAAAUGCUUUCUUUCCAAGAGGUGUUAUAACAGACAUGCUUUGAUGAAACAAAUUUUAUUACAGUAGCCUUUGAAAGGCAGAGAUAGAAUGAAAAGUACAUUUUGAGCAUGAAACCUGGAGCCAUCAAGUACAUAAAACAAGGAAGAAAUUGAGUUAAUUAUAGUGAACACAAAUUUUACAAAAUACAAAGAGGAUCAUGUUAUUUUAAUAAUUUGUGAUAGUCAUGAAGCAUAGAGUUUUAAGAGUAUGCUUUCACUGUGUUGGUGGUAGAUUUUAGCACCACUUUUAAAGAGGCUUAACUAACUGCUCAUGCAUCUGUUUGAGAUAUAGUCCUCUUUAAGAAGUACUACGUAGCCACAGGUGAAGUUGUAGCUGAGAAGCAGACUGCUUUGUGCUACCUCUUUAUAAUCAUCCCUUUAGGGAGAUCAGCUGUGAACCAAGUAGUAUAAAUGUUUUACUUCUCUCAUUUGCUGAGAGCUCUAAAUGCCCUUGUUGUAAAGGAAAAGGUGAGAAAAUAAAAGCCAGAUGGAUAUUUUUGUACCACAUCUGUAAGUAAUACUCAUUCCCAUUGUAUAAGUUACAUUAUAUAAAAUUGAUUAUGUAUACAGGCAAUAUUCACACAAAGUUUACAGUGAUACAUGACAGAUGUAGGAAUAAAACCAAUACAUAUUUUUCCUAAGAAGUUUAGAUCAUCAGGACAUUUUGACUCCUUCAAUAAAAAAGUUGAGCUGACCAAGCCAGUCUUGAUUUGAAAAAGAAAUAUUUUACCAGUCUAUGUGUUUGAAUGUGAAGGUUUUGAGAUAACUUAUGUACUAGUUUAAAUAUACAAACAACUAACACUAUUUUUUUGGUUCUCAUAAAUACACCUGGCAUGCAAGGAACCAGUAAGUAUUUUUUAUAUAGAUAAAAGGAAAUGUGAAUAGGAGAGGGAAUAUAUAAGAGGACAAGCUGUUCUGAAUGCUGGCAUGGUUUUGAUUUUUAUAGCCAGUUGAAAAUGAAUCUGGCACAGUUUCUAGCAAAACAGUGAUGAAACUGCAUUUGAGGGAGCAGGAAAAUCUUUCACUUGCUGUUAUGCUGUUACAGCUGAGCACUAUUAGAAAAAUUAGUGUAAAAUGGAAGUUAAAAUCACCUUUCCCAAAACUAUUAGUAUAUAGAAGUGUAAGUUAUGUAUUCUGCAAUGAUGAAGAUUUAUUAAUAACAUAUUUUCUUGCAUCUAACUUCUCAAGUAAAUGACAUUGCAAUGGCAAUAGUAUAUUUCCAAGGUACUUUUACAACACAGAACUGAAAACUCAGAAGAAAUUUCACCAAACUUGGUUUAAAACGUGCAAGUGUUCCAAGUCUUAAAAAAUACCUCGUAUGUGCAAGUUCUUUUAAAAUUUCUUGUAGAAUUUUUUAAAAUUUAGUUAAACAAUGGGAGUUCUGGCUCUGCUGUAACACUGUAAUCAAAUAGGUGUUGUGCCUCAUGACUUGUGUCUCAUAUAGUCCAUUAUGAAUUUUUUUAAGGAAUAUUUUAGGAUAUGCAAACUGUAGCCCUUGCUUUCUGUAUCCCUUGUGGAUUUUGGUGUUGUAUACUAAGCUUUGAAGCUUCAGCUUCACUAUGGUGCAAAGAGUGGGUGGAACAGAUGAAGGAAAAGUAUUACAACAUACUGUCAAAAGAUCCUGUACACCAAACAACAGAUGUGGUCAGAAGGUAGAUACACAUAUAUAUAUGGGCUCUGACUGUGUUAUAUAACACAAUACUGGCUUUGCAGACAAGAGGUCUUAGUUACUUCUGAUUUAUACUUUGUAUUAAAAUAAUUAGAUGCAAAAAACCUCCUCUAAAUGCAAUAGUGAUUUCCUGUAUGCAAACAAAUAGGCAACAACAACAAAAAGACAAAAUAGGAAAUAGCUUCUCUAUGUGACAUCCCUGAAACUGUAGAGAAAAUUAAAGCAAUAAAUUAAAGCCUUAAUAAGAAUUUCACAUUUUAUUGAUUUUUCAAGUGUUUUCUAGAUCCUUAAGGACAGCAGCAAUGACAACAAUUCUAGGUCUGGAUAAAGAGUGAUGGAUUUUAUACACAGAUUUUUGAUAUAAAAGCUAAAGCAUUAAUUGCCUCAAGUUCUGUGAUUGGGAACAUUUAGUUUUUCAACUGGUAAGAAAGAAGUGCCCAGGGAAAGAAGUUUCUUUCAAAAUCACUGUCUAGUGUUUUUGGUUUACCUGUUUCAUUACAAACUCUAACUUUGUAGGAGUUCAAAUAGAUUUUUGCAGUUACAACUCAUAAAUGUUUCCCACAGGUGGAAAUCUUACUGAGGUGUGUUUAUUCCUGGCUGCUUUCCUGCUUCUUUGUCAGAAUUCAUCUCAGUGUUCUGAUACAUAUGUUUCAGGUACCAAGCUGUGCUUUUUUUAGGUGCAUGGAAUUGUCAGCUUCAAGAGUAGAUCUUCCUGGCAAUAGUAGUACUAUGGAGUUUGUGAGAUGAAGUACCUUAUAGUUUUUAAAGUAAGGUGCUAAAAGGAAGGCUCCAGUUUAGCUCUUCUCCCCUCUUCAAAUGGCAGGAAAGUAGCAGAGAAAGAAGUGUUAGAGCAUGAAAGAGUCAUAUAAUUGUAAUUCACUGUAUUGGUCUGCAAGUCAGCUUUGAUUAAUAGUAUCCUUCGUACUAAAAUGCAUGAAUCUGUUUACUCUGUGUUAAAGAAUUAAAUCUUCCACCAGAAAACUAACCACUUGUAUUCUGCCUAUUUGUUGAAGAAUAUUAAACCUCAUGGAGUGUUGGCUUCCAUAUGCUCUGUAUUGGGCUCCUAUACGUGGACAUAAUGGUGGAGAAAGAUUGAUCAUAAGAAAUGAAAAAAAAAACUGGCAGUCAAGGAUAAGUAUCAGUUGGUUCUGGUUUUAGUUUGCACUCUUACAUCCAUAACUGUCAAGAGUAAUUGAGAGUUUAACUUUCAGUUGAAAAGAGAGAAGACAGUGAAAAAUAUAUUUCUAGGCAUCUGUCAAUACACUACAUUCUGUACCCUAUCACAUGUAAUUUUGCCAUGAAAAUAUAUCCAGAAGAGAGGCUUUGUUGUUUUUUUUUUUUUGAAAGAAAUGUUUUAAUAAAAGUUUAGUCAAAUACAUCUUUUAGUGAGCUAUAUUUUUCCUGUCUUCCUUAUGUGUUUUACAUUAUAAAGACAAGAACUUUCUUCUGAAAAGCACUAGUCGCGGAAUUAAAUAAGUUAUCACAUAGCUUCAUGUUGUGUUCAGACCCCAAAUCAUAAAACACAGAGGAUAAGAGUCUUUACUAUAGAGCACAAGACAUAGUCUUUAGUAGUCUUGGAGAUUCUCACACUGUAUCAGGGUCUGCACUGUAUAACUACUUAUAUGGUAACCUUUUAAGUGGUUAAUUUCUGAACACAUAGCUGUGAAACUAUAAUGGAAAGAUACUUUGAUUUACACUGGGGAAAAUAUUGCUGCUAUCGCGCUGGCAGGUUAGUGUGGAGAAAGGGUUUUAGAAAGGCCUUGGGAAUGGGAAACUGAGGAAAAGAUACAUUUAUGUAUGCUCCAUUGUUUCGGAAAAGUUUAGCUUCGGCAUUUUUCUGUAAACCCCUUUUUCCCCACGCCUGAGCAGUUCCCAUUGGACCUGACCCCUGGGGUGGUUCUAAUGAGCCCAUGCUGAACACUGUCUCUAUUGUUUAGACCUUAUCUCUUCAAUUUUGCUGUAUAAAACUGCAUCUGGGCAGUAGCAGUAGCCCAGGGUCUUUUGUCCCUGCAACUGUUCAGGCAAUACAAUCUCUCUGGACUGCACACAAUUGACCUCUCUUAGUCUCUUUAUCCCGAAUCCUUGUGGCGACCGAGGCGCGCCGCCGCUCGGACCGUGCUAACCCGGCCGCUGCCUGGUGAGCCCAGUGCAGCGGGACCGCGGCAAACCCCGGUUCCCUGAGGGGACAGCUAGCCGGAGGGGUCCCGGGGGGGCCGGGGAGGGACGGGGGACAGCCGCAAGUGACCCCCAAAAGCCGCAAAUAUUUUUUAACUUCUUUUUUAUUUCUUUCUUUAGCUGUUUCAGUAGACACAUAUUUGUGUGAACAUUCAUGGCUGAGAUCCAGUUUGCCUACCUCUAAGCAGCCUACAAAAGGAGUACAAAGGAUGUGAAGACUCUACACAGGAUAAAAGUGAGCAACUAUCAAGGACAUUCUCACACAUAUUCAAGCUUAACUUGCUCUGUCACUCAAUACACAUGAGGAAAUGCAGGGGUUAUUAUAGCAGACCUUUUAAUUUUUAUGUCCUUUUUCAAAUAUUAAUAAAUAGCAGAUCUUUCAGAGCAAAGUACAGCAGCUCAGUGGUGAAUAGAUAAAAAUUCAUUUGAUCACCAGGAAAGAUAAUACUAUGUCCUUUUCAAGAAUUAGAAGUUAAGCUUGGUAAAAAAAAUAAAAAUUUCAUGUUUUUUGUUUAAAAUUUUGAAAAGAUGGCUGAAAUUUCAGAUUUCAUAUUUUUAAAAAUCUCAGCAGUUUUUUAUUGUUUUCAGUAUAAACACUGCCAAACCUUAGUCUGACAAUCUUGUCUUUUUGGCAAAAAAGUCAUAUUAGUUUGAAGGGACCUCAGGAACCUUGGAUGUGGGUACACAGUGUUUCAAGUACAUAUCUAUGGAAAAUCUGCUAUAAGAUUUCUCAUAUCUUUCUAAUCAACAAGAAUAGUUGUGAAUUGACUGUGAAGCAGCUUCGCAUAUGUUGUACAUUUGAAAUCUGUCAAAAUCUCUUGUCUAGUUUAAUGAAAACUAAUUAUGCUCUAAUGCCACGAGAGCAGCAGGGAUGUUUUCUACUAAAAAUAUUAACUACUAUGUAAAAAUAUUAAAUAAUACCAGAACUGAGGUAUUAGCAGAAAACACAAUCAGCUCUGUAUGAGAAGAUUCAUAAAAGACUGCCAUAGCAUCACAUACAUAAAAAGAAAUUGCCAUCAGAAAGUUGUGGGUCUAAUUUCAAAACCAACAGCUUGUGUUGAACAGAUUUUAUUAUAUUAAGAGUUAGAUAAACACUGUGAAAAAGACCCCUACAAGAACUUCUAAUUUUUUCUUCAAACUUUUGUAAACCUUUAUCCAGCAAGCUUCAUAAAGCUAGUUGUUUUACAAACACUUCCAUGUGAGCUUUCCUCUUUAAUAUAUUCACAGAGUUUUCACUAUGACUGAAUAUUAGUUCUUCUGUAUCAUAUUGUCAUUGCACUUCACCUGUCUUAUCACUCUCACUAUGCACUUAUGAGGGUCAUAAAAGAUAGUAGGGUCUGUGUUUGUGUCUGGUCCCUCUCCCCACUCCAACAGUCUCUGAUAGGCAAUGUGGUUUGUGCUAGGACAGAAACAUCAGGCUGGUAUUGCUGGAGGAACCAUGCAGAUGUUUACACAAUUACUGCAUUCCAGAGAUAAGAAGCUGAGGAGUUUUCAAUUUACUUUGUUGCACAUAAACCUGCAAAGGGGUAUAAAAGUCUAGUGGACAUCGAGUCAACAGUGAAAAUCCAUCUCUCAGAGAAUGCAGAUACUUUCUGAGUGAAUAUCCACCCUGAUGAGGACACCUGCAGUGUACAUCCAGUCCAAAUAGAGAACUUUAGUCACUUUUGCAUAGGUGAGUAAAACGUGUUAAGACCCAGUCAAAUAUGGAGAUAAAAUGCUUAAGUAGCUCCAAGGGUGCUUUUUUACUUCCUUUGUAAUUAUAAAGUCUGCAGAGCCAAAUAAUGUAAACUUGUAUGCUUCCAGAUGAACCUGCUUGCAUUAUAAUCCUUGAGACACAGAUUGUUGAGGAAGUCUUAGACUAUGUGAACCCAGGCACAGCUAGGCUUCUCAGAAGUUUAGAGAACAAGGGGGUCUUACUGAAGUUUGUGACUCAACAGGAGAGACUAUGUCCUAAUGUUACUAUAACACAUAACUAACAAUAGACAUAAUAGUUAGAUACUGAAUUGACAACAUUUAGAUUCUGUUUUAGCAAUAAAUCUAAUAAUAAUCAUCCACAUAGUCACUGUGUCCUACUUUCUGCACCUGUCUGAACCUUAUCUAUAGGUGGGGUUCAGCAUGACAGAUCCCUAUGCUUCAGUAUUUGGUGAGGUCAACAAAUACUAAAAGAGCUAAAGAACUAUAAAAACUUCUCUUCAAAUUAUUCAAGAGCUUUCUAAAGUAUUUAGGCUAGGAAGAGAGGAAUGACAGAAUAAUUUCCAAGAACAAAAAGAAAACGAGCCAAGACAUGUUAUUUUGUUUUGGCUAAAAAUGCAAAAUUACCUAUUUUGUAGCUGCUUUCAUUUCCAGGUUAAACAACUGCAUAAAAUGAACUAGCACUGGAAGCUUCAUUCUUGUCUUUUAGCAGGAAAAAGUCAGUGAGUUUUCAGGGUUUUCUAAAUGAGUUUAGGCAUAUUAUUCAUGGGUGUCUGAACUGAUUUCCAGCUCAAUUCAAAUAGGAUCUCACAUGAUGAGUGAAAAAUCAUAAUCCUAUACUAGUUCAAAUGUAGUGGAAUAAAAUUGAUGCAUGAAAAAAAGAUUGAGUAGGGUAAUAAUUAGAAAAAUACAUUGUAAGGAGUAAAUGUGUAGGCAAGACUGCCAGUUAUAGGUCUCAUAAGGUAUGUUCAAAUACAGAUUUAUAUUAGUACUAGAUGGCAUCUACCAAUGGGCUUCACUCCUUGCAAAAAGUGAAGACAGAGGGACACUUCAGUGUCAGCUUCUCUAGUUUUUAUUUUUUCACAUUUAAAACAUCACAUCCUACUCUCAUCCUCCAAAUUAAAGAUAGGAUUUACAAUCUAAGAGAAAGAGUUAAGAGAAAAAAAUGUGAAAUAAUACAUGGUGUAAGUCUAAAUGAACUCAUAAACCUUUAGACAAAAAUGUGUGUAAGGAUAGUUAGCUCAUGAUACAUGUCUUUGUCUUAUAUAGCUAACACUACACCUAUUAAUCUCAGCUGGAGAACCUCUUCAUAAAUUAUAUUCAGAGCACUAAAUUACACUCCUCUGACUAUUAGGAGAAGGAGCUUAUACCUAUUUAUUCAGUAUACAUUUAAAAAUAUAUAUUUGGUACAGGCUACAGAUGCAAGCAUAGAUAUUUUAUUAGGUCACAUCAAAAGCAAACUAAAUUAGGAAUCUCUGGGUAUCAAACAACAUUUAGCUCUGCCCAUAUCUUUGCAGAAGAGAACACGUCUGUGUUCAAUGUGGCCUGUGGGAGGGGGUGUGGCUGAUGGCCCCCCUGCUCUGCCUUGGGAGGCAACUGACAUUUAGUUUCCCGCCUCACCCGGUUGUCAGUCUUUUGUUAUCCCUUCCCUUUGUUCCUGUCCAUCAUUGUGUAUUCCUUCCCCCAGUUCUGGAAAGUUCUUAGUUCUCUGCACCCCCGUUGGUUCUCCCCUCGAAGCCAUCCCUUCCCUCCAUCCCAGUUGGCUGUUGCCCUGUCGCUCUUCCCUGACUCUGCCCUCAAGCCCUCACCUAGUUGGAUGUUUUGUACCCUGACCCUCCUACCCAGUUAUAGUUAUAAUCUCUGCCCCGCCCCUGGUUCGGGGCUCUCGGACCUGGCUGCCCUUCUGAGUGGUUGUUCCCCUCGUCCCCUGCCUCGUUUUCCCUCCUAUGAACCCUUGGAAAUAAAGCUGUCCGGGAGAC
This is a non-coding RNA of Taeniopygia guttata (zebra finch), 11139 nucleotides long. NCBI's taxonomy places the organism in Eukaryota, Metazoa, Chordata, Aves, Passeriformes, Estrildidae. The record is from RefSeq and is a predicted model, not a curated record.